This 26-nucleotide non-coding RNA is filed under the name Cricetulus griseus (Chinese hamster). Lineage: Eukaryota; Metazoa; Chordata; Mammalia; Rodentia; Cricetidae. The record is from RNAcentral.
CACAAUGAUUUCUGUUCACUGCUCCA